GGGGAUUUAGCUCAGUGGUAGAGCGCUUGCCUAUGCCUAGGAAGCGCAAGGCCCUGGGUUCAGUCCCCA
This 69-nucleotide transfer RNA is filed under the name Rattus norvegicus (Norway rat). It matches the Rfam family "tRNA". Rfam says of the family: Transfer RNA (tRNA) molecules are approximately 80 nucleotides in length. The record is from Rfam by way of RNAcentral. Lineage: Eukaryota; Metazoa; Chordata; Mammalia; Rodentia; Muridae.